This 160-nucleotide ribosomal RNA is filed under the name Alternaria tenuissima. RNAcentral describes it as "5.8S ribosomal RNA". It matches the Rfam family "5.8S ribosomal RNA". From Rfam's summary of the family: 5.8S ribosomal RNA (5.8S rRNA) is a component of the large subunit of the eukaryotic ribosome. It is transcribed by RNA polymerase I as part of the 45S precursor that also contains 18S and 28S rRNA. Functionally, it is thought that 5.8S rRNA may be involved in ribosome translocation. Lineage: Eukaryota; Fungi; Ascomycota; Dothideomycetes; Pleosporales; Pleosporaceae. RNAcentral also lists the same sequence under 1 other name. The record is from RNAcentral.
CAACUUUCAACAACGGAUCUCUUGGUUCUGGCAUCGAUGAAGAACGCAGCGAAAUGCGAUAAGUAGUGUGAAUUGCAGAAUUCAGUGAAUCAUCGAAUCUUUGAACGCACAUUGCGCCCUUUGGUAUUCCAAAGGGCAUGCCUGUUCGAGCGUCAUUUGU